This 510-nucleotide ribosomal RNA is filed under the name Triticum aestivum (bread wheat). Its description in RNAcentral is "partial small subunit ribosomal RNA". The record is from RNAcentral. Lineage: Eukaryota; Viridiplantae; Streptophyta; Magnoliopsida; Poales; Poaceae.
AUGUCUAACUCCGGCAGUUGCGACGUAGUUGGAGCCGGUGUAGAAGUUACAACACAAGACCCGGAGCACUCAUCAUCUGAAAAUGAAGCACAGGCGCCUCCGACACCCACAUCCAGAAUUUCAGUUAAGCGAGCAGUAGAAGUAAUUCAGUUAUUUGAUGGUUACAAGAUGUGGUUGGUUGCAGAAAUUGGAUUUGGUUGUAUGCUAAAGCUCCCUGCGAUCCAACAACUCAACCUAAAAUUCAGUGCAUGGACAAUUAGUAAGGUCAGUAUUAGGCGUUGCGUAAUCAUAUUGACAGAGUCGAACAUUCUAAAGUUUUGGGCCGAAGACGUGCACAAGGUUUUCGGUAUACCAUUUGGGCAUCGAAAUGUUAGAGGACGUGAUGCAUUUAUAAAGCCUGAAGCCAUCCAUUUCAUAAAGAGCACACUUGGGAUGGACAAGACCGGGGUGCAUAGCCUCCGAGCUGCAGAGAAAUUCCUUCUCCAAGACAUCUCUGAGACAUCUAACUAG